GACGAACGCUGGCGGCGUGCUUAACACAUGCGAGUCGAACGGAAAGGCCCUGCUUUUGUGGGGUGCUCGAGUGGCGAACGGGUGAGUAACACGUGAGUAACCUGCCCUUGACUUUGGGAUAACUUCAGGAAACUGGGGCUAAUACCGGAUAGGAGCUCCUGCUGCAUGGUGGGGGUUGGAAAGUUUCGGCGGUUGGGGAUGGACUCGCGGCUUAUCAGCUUGUUGGUGGGGUAGUGGCUUACCAAGGCUUUGACGGGUAGCCGGCCUGAGAGGGUAACCGGCCACAUUGGGACUGAGAUACGGCCCAGACUCCUACGGGAGGCAGCAGUGGGGAAUAUUGCACAAUGGGCGGAAGCCUGAUGCAGCAACGCCGCGUGCGGGAUGACGGCCUUCGGGUUGUAAACCGCUUUCGCCUGUGACGAAGCGUGAGUGACGGUAAUGGGUAAAGAAGCACCGGCUAACUACGU
This 467-nucleotide ribosomal RNA is filed under the name uncultured bacterium. RNAcentral's name for it is "partial 16S ribosomal RNA". It matches the Rfam family "Bacterial small subunit ribosomal RNA", at positions 28 to 506 of the family's 1533-position model. The record is from RNAcentral.